This 389-nucleotide long non-coding RNA is filed under the name Astyanax mexicanus (Mexican tetra). RNAcentral's name for it is "lncRNA (ENSAMXG00005010834.1)". The record is from RNAcentral. Lineage: Eukaryota; Metazoa; Chordata; Actinopteri; Characiformes; Acestrorhamphidae.
AAAGAUGAGGAAUAGGACAGACAAGAAGAAAGAUAGAAGGAUUAACAGAGACUAUGUGACUGUCAGUCAGGCAGAUGAACAAGAACAAGGCAACUUUCGCCACCAGAAGUUCAGUGUCAACCUUCUGCAGUAAAUAAAUAGGCAAACACAACAGUUGAAAUGUCACUGAUGAUGGACGAAACAGCGGGGGACCUACCAGUAAGGGAUGUGGGCCUCAGAGGAGGAGCCAUGAUUGUCACACAAGAACAAGAAACAAGGUCCUGGAAAAGACCUGCACAGGUCUUAAGCCUUAAAGAAAGGCAGCGUGUGUUCAAGGUACCGCGAGAGCAUCUGGAGGAGCAGUGUCUACGCCUGCAGGAAGAAAACACACUGCUCAAACAACACACCCG